AAGGAACGUUUAAGACUAAGACGUUGAUAGGCUGGGUGUGUAAGUGCAGCGAUGCAUUGAGCUAACCAGUACUAAUGAUCCGUGAGGCUUAACCUU
RNAcentral lists this ribosomal RNA (96 nucleotides) under Serratia marcescens. RNAcentral's name for it is "partial 23S ribosomal RNA". It matches the Rfam family "Bacterial large subunit ribosomal RNA", at positions 2830 to 2925 of the family's 2925-position model. The record is from RNAcentral. Lineage: Bacteria; Pseudomonadati; Pseudomonadota; Gammaproteobacteria; Enterobacterales; Yersiniaceae. RNAcentral also lists the same sequence under 1 other name.